Long non-coding RNA from Mastomys coucha (southern multimammate mouse), 513 nucleotides. RefSeq lists it as uncharacterized. The record is from RefSeq and is a predicted model, not a curated record. The transcript has 4 exons. Lineage: Eukaryota; Metazoa; Chordata; Mammalia; Rodentia; Muridae.
CAGCUUGUGUUCCAGUCUCCAGCCACCAUCAGAGGGGAGUGUGGGAGGGGAGCAUGGGAGGUGAACAGAGUGACAAGGACAGACAUCAUGAAAAGCUUUUCUUUGAAACCACAUAUCUCAGAAUCUGGACCAAGAGGCAAAUGAGUUAUCAGAUAUCUUAAAUUAUACAUCUCUACACACACUGCAAGUGUCCUCCAGCGAGGCAAAGAUCAUCCCUGCCUGAGGUCCCUGGGCCAGAAAGAAUGGGAUCAGCUCAUUAUUCUCCAGUACUCUCUGCCUGGUGUUCCAUGGGACUGGGAACAUGCAAGUCAGUAAGCAACUGCAGAAGUGAAGCAAGAGAGAGUCAGACUUAGCUCCUCUGGAAGUGAGCUUUGGUGCUGCAGAGUGGACCACUGAGAUCACAAGAAAUGCUGAAGUUUUGGUUGAUAAAGGAGAAACACAUAAAUCUGUGGUGAUACUGUGCAUGCUACAUAAUAAACAUAAUAAACAUGAAAUAAAGACUUUAUGGUACAA